Molecule: non-coding RNA, 22 nt
Filed under: Arabidopsis thaliana (thale cress)
Lineage: Eukaryota; Viridiplantae; Streptophyta; Magnoliopsida; Brassicales; Brassicaceae
Source: RNAcentral
GGUCAAAAUUUGGGGUCGACAA